AUCCUUUUGUAGUUCAUAAGUGUGAUGAUUGGGUCUUCAAACUAUUGUGUGACAUGUGCCGCCCUCAAACCUUGUUACAACCUUGGCACAUUACCUGUCUGAUG
Molecule: small nucleolar RNA, 104 nt
Organism: Panthera leo (lion)
Lineage: Eukaryota; Metazoa; Chordata; Mammalia; Carnivora; Felidae
Source: Ensembl